This 489-nucleotide ribosomal RNA is filed under the name uncultured bacterium. RNAcentral describes it as "partial 16S ribosomal RNA". It matches the Rfam family "Bacterial small subunit ribosomal RNA", at positions 28 to 507 of the family's 1533-position model. The record is from RNAcentral.
GAUGAACGCUAGCGGCAGGCUUAAUACAUGCAAGUCGUGGGGCAGCAGGGCUGUAGCAAUACAGUUGCUGGCGACCGGCAAACGUGUGCGGAACACGUACGCAACUUACCCUGAACUGGUGGAUAGCCCGGGGAAACCCGGAUUAAUACCCCGUAAUAUAAUGGAGUGGCAUCACUUUAUUAUUUAAGCUCCUGCGGUUCGGGAUGGGCGUGCGUCUGAUUAGGUAGUUGGUUUAGGUAACGGCUCACCAAGCCUACGAUCAGUAACUGGUGUGAGAGCACGACAAGUCACACGGGAACUGAGACACGGGCCAGAAUCCUACGGGAGGAAGAAGUAAGGAAUAUUGGGAAAUGGAGGAAACUCUGACCCAGCCAUGCCGCGUGGAGGAGGAAGGCCGUCUGGGUUGUAAACUUCUUUUAUAGGGGACGAAACAUGUGUAUUCUUACGCAGUUGACGGUACCCUAGGAAUAAGCACCGGCUAACUCCGUG